RNAcentral lists this transfer RNA (70 nucleotides) under Scinax pombali. Its description in RNAcentral is "tRNA-Val". Lineage: Eukaryota; Metazoa; Chordata; Amphibia; Anura; Hylidae. The record is from RNAcentral.
CAAAAUGUAGCUUAACCCAAAGCACCUUGCUUACACUAAGAAGAUAUCUGCUAAACCCAGAUCAUUUUGA